Lolium rigidum is the source of this 394-nucleotide long non-coding RNA. RefSeq lists it as uncharacterized. The transcript has 3 exons. The record is from RefSeq and is a predicted model, not a curated record. Lineage: Eukaryota; Viridiplantae; Streptophyta; Magnoliopsida; Poales; Poaceae.
GCCAUCGCCUCCAUCCUCCUCGCGCGCCCCCAGCCUCGCCACCACCAAUCCCCGCAGCCGUCGUCCGCCCCCUCCUUCCACGCCACGAGCUCCUCCUACUCCAUCCCAGAGCGCCCCUUCCCAUCCUGCCCAUUCCCUCGCGAGUAGCAGCAGCGCCGGCGGCUAAUGCAGGAGAGAGAAGGAGGCAUCACCAAGGAUCCAGGCUGAUGCGGAGAGAGAGAGGAGGCGGCGUCGUCAAGGAGCGGCUCGAGAUCGGCAUCCUCUAGACCCAUCUCUGCACCUCAACUCCCAAGCCAAUUUCAGACAGGAGGAUUUUAAGAUUUGCUGGUGAUUGGCCAUCUCCACUUGGAAAACACUAUUUGAAGAGAGAGGUUAUUUCAUGAAAGCAAAAGCG